GGAGUUAGCCGGUGCUUCUUCUGUGAGUGAUGUCCUUCCUGCCGGCUAUUAACCCGCAGGCCUUCUUCCUCACUGAAAGUGCUUUACAACCCGAAGGCCUUCUUCACACACGCGGCAUGGCUGGAUCAGGGUUGCCCCCAUUGUCCAAUAUUCCCCACUGCUGCCUCCCGUAGGAGUCUGGGCCGUGUCUCAGUCCCAGUGUGGCUGAUCAUCCUCUCAGACCAGCUACGGAUCGUCGCCUUGGUGAGCCGUUACUUCACCAACCAGCUAAUCCGACAUAGGCUCAUCCGAUAGCGCGAGGCCCGAAGGUCCCCCGCUUUCCCCCGUAGGGCGUAUGCGGUAUUAGCCUGGGUUUCCCCAGGUUAUCCCCCACUACCGGGCAGAUUCCUAUGCAUUACUCACCCGUCCGCCGCUCGCCACCAGGGAGCAAGCUCCCCGUGCUGCCGCUCGACUUGCAUGUGUUAGGCCUGCCGCCAGCGUUCAAUCUGAACCAGAUCAAAUUCNGA
RNAcentral lists this ribosomal RNA (506 nucleotides) under uncultured bacterium. RNAcentral describes it as "partial 16S ribosomal RNA". The record is from RNAcentral.